CUGAGGGUAAAGUGCUCCAGUGUGCAUUUAAGAAACCCUCCGUCUAAUUUUGGUACAAGUCAAGUCUGAAACCUAUCGCUGUUUCCUUGCGCUGCUUCCUCUGUGUACCUGGCCCACACUGAAUUGCAACGGGCCAAUUGUGUGCUGGGGACCAUGGCAGACAUCGACUUGCAAAACUCAAUUGGCUAGGAAGCCAAAAUGAUCCAAAUCAGAGUGUGGACUGGGGUCUAGAGCGUGAGAACUUUAUGUCACUUCCCAAAGCCUUCCAUGGCCAAAGUUCCAAGACUCCACAAAUGCGAGUCUUCUAGGUCUGGUUCUCGCUGAUUUUUACAUCGGACGUGUCCUUAUUUGAUUUGUUUGGACACUGGAAUUGAUGCCUUGAAACUUCAGCAUCCAUUAUGAGACCAAGGGAAAGGCAAUCAGGAACAUGGUGAACUGGAUCCUGACAGCCUUGAGACACUGAGCCAGUGCCAGCCGCUCCCCAACUUCCUGUUACGUAAAGAAAAGACCAUGUCUAUGUGUUUAAACAACAACUGAUAUAAAAGUCAAGAUUUGGGAAAGUCACAGGACUUGCGUUCGAUGCUACAUUAAGUGCAUUUUCAAGUCUGUCUGGAUCAUGGCAGAAGGUUUGGUGGGAAAGGAGAGCCAAGUGAAAGAAUGAAGUCACACAUAAAGAACUUUGAGUGGGUAGCUUGAGACGUUACAUCCCGCUGGCAGGAUAAAGGGAACAUCCUAGCUUCACUCUGCUCCUAGACUGACGCCUCCAAGAUGGGAACCUUUGGAAAAAUACGGAAUGGACCUAAGUGCCCAUCAACAAAUGUCCAUCCUUAAUGAAGGAAAGCAUGUCAUUUGUGACCACCUGGAAGAACCUAGAACUCAUUAUGCUUCGUGAAGUAACCAGGCACAAGAAGACAAAUACUGCAUGACCUCACACACAUGUGGCAUCUGUGGAGAUCGAGUGUACAGUAGGUAGUAGAAUGCAGGUUACCAGAAGCUGGGCUUGGGGAUGAGAAAUGCUGACCGAAGAGCACAAAAUUUCAUUUAGAUGGGAAGAAUAUGUUUUCAAAAUCUAGUGUACGGCAUGGUAAUUAUAGACGAUAAUAAUAAUAGACUGCAUAUCUCAAAACAAUUAAAGAAAAAGGUAUGUUAA
This is a long non-coding RNA of Peromyscus eremicus (cactus mouse), 1150 nucleotides long. RefSeq lists it as uncharacterized. Lineage: Eukaryota; Metazoa; Chordata; Mammalia; Rodentia; Cricetidae. The transcript is spliced from 3 exons. The record is from RefSeq and is a predicted model, not a curated record.